ACUAAAAAUACAAAAAUUAGCUAGGCGUGGUGGCGGAUGCCUGUAGUCCCACGUACUCGGAAGGCUGAGGCACAAGAAUCGCUUGAACCCGGGAGGGGGAGGUUGCAAUGAGCCAAGACUGUGCCACUGCACUCCAGCGUGGGCGACAGACUGAGACUCUGUCUCAAAAAUAAAUAAAUAAAUAAAUAAAAAUAAUAAUAGUGGUGGGCGUCCUCUCACCCCUCUUCUCCGUCCUCCUAGGGUGUGUGUGGGAGCGUGGGUAGUGAAUGUGUGCGAACGAGUAUUUCGAGCAAAGCUGCAUACGUGACAGACAGCGUGUGCAUCAUAUCUGUGUGAUGGGGAUGUGUGUGACUGGCAAAGUGAGAGUGCUCGCUGAUGCCGAUUUUUAACAUAGUGAGAAAGACAGUCUCUCCUAUUUUGCCCCCCUCCCCAGGCCACUUUGAAGGCCUGACUGGGAAGGUGCCGGGGCCAAGAGAGAGGCCAGGUGGGAGCACACGGUGUGUUCACAGCCACACCACCCUUGCCCCAGGUUACGCUGUGGCCGUGCUGCACAAGACCUGCAGCCUCUCCUACAUCGCGGGGGCUCCACGG
This 591-nucleotide long non-coding RNA is filed under the name Homo sapiens (human). RNAcentral's name for it is "non-protein coding lnc-NCBP3-4:2". Lineage: Eukaryota; Metazoa; Chordata; Mammalia; Primates; Hominidae. The record is from RNAcentral.